UUGAGAAGGCUGUUGGAUCCAGUCAAAUUCAAAAAGGCCUUGAAGGUUUUUGGAGUUGGUUCUACCAGUGAUUCUGUUGAUGCCCUGGUGGAUAGCUGGAACAGGGAACUUGCCAGGGAUGUUUUGACUUCUUAAAAAUUUCAUGUGAGGAGGAGAAAGCUGCUGAUGUGAGCUGCAGUUUGCUUUUUGAUUCUAUGCUUCAAAUGAUGAUUUUUCCAUCCAAGAGGAAUAAAGUUAUGCCAUUGCUUAUUCCCUUGACCUACCUGGAGGGACACUAUAAUGUGGAUCACAUGAGGCAGUCUGUCUGGGACAUCGGUUUGGAAGCAUCACCAAGUAUUGCUAGAGGCUAGAUUAGAUUAGCAUUUAGCCUUUGAUAACAUGGAUCUUUUAAACUCUAACUCUACUUUUGACAUCAUUUUCUGUCUACAGUUAUACAUUUAAAUUAUGCAUAGUUCACACUUACCCUUUUGUCAUGAAAUAAAUAAGACAGGCUGUAGCCCUUUCAUAUAUCUGAUAUGGACGAAUCUCUCAUACAAC
Long non-coding RNA from Hemicordylus capensis (graceful crag lizard), 537 nucleotides. RefSeq lists it as uncharacterized. The record is from RefSeq and is a predicted model, not a curated record. The transcript is spliced from 3 exons. Lineage: Eukaryota; Metazoa; Chordata; Lepidosauria; Squamata; Cordylidae.